AUCUUUUCCCAAAAAACACCAAAACCCUCCCGCCAAAAAAGCGACCCUUUUUGACAAAAUGUUUUCGCAUGGUCUUGCCCCGGCGAUUUUUCGAAAAACUUUUCGCCCUAUCAACUUUCGAUGGUAGGAUAGUGGCCUACCCAUGGUGGCAACGGGUAACGGGGAAUCAAGUGUUUUUCUGAUACUGAGAGGGAGCCUGAGAAACGGCUACCACAUCCAAGGAAGGCAGCAGGCGCGCAAAUUACCCAAUCCCGACACGGGGAGGUAGUGACAAUAAAUACUGAUACGGGGCUCUUUUGGGUCUCGUAAUUGGAAUGAGUACAAUCUAAAUCCCUUAACGAGGAACAAUUGGAGGGCAAGUCUGGUGCCAGCAGCCGCGGUAAUUCCAGCUCCAAUAGCGUAUAUUAAAGUUGUUGCAGUUAAAAAGCUCGUAGUUGAACCUUGGGUUCGGCCGGCCGGUCCGCCUCACCGCGAGUACUGUCCGGCCGUUCCUUUCCUUCUGGGGAAUCCCAUGGCCUUCACUGGCUGUGGGGGGAACCAGGACUUUUACUGUGAAAAAAUUAGAGUGUUCAAAGCAGGCCUUUGCUCGAAUACAUUAGCAUGGAAUAAUAGAAUAGGACGUGUGGUUCUAUUUUGUUGGUUUCUAGGACCGCCGUAAUGAUUAAUAGGGAUAGUCGGGGGCGUCAGUAUUCAGCUGUCAGAGGUGAAUCUGAUGCUAGGCCUU
Molecule: ribosomal RNA, 724 nt
Filed under: Aspergillus niger
Lineage: Eukaryota; Fungi; Ascomycota; Eurotiomycetes; Eurotiales; Aspergillaceae
Description: bacterial SSU rRNA
Rfam family: Eukaryotic small subunit ribosomal RNA
Source: RNAcentral